AUUGAACGCUGGCGGCAUGCCUAACACAUGCAAGUCGAACGAACAGACGAGGAUCUGUCUCGUCUGACGUUGGCAGCGGACGGGUGAUUAACACGUGGAUGACCUACCUAUGGGACUGGGAUGACUUCAGGAAACCUGAGCUAAUACCGGAUAAUAUAUUGAACCGCAUGGUUCAAUAGUGAAAGACGGUUUUGCUGUGACGUAUUGGUGGAUCCAUGCCGGAUUAGCUAGUUGGUAAGGUAACGGCUUACCAAGGCUACGGUGCGUAGCCGAUCUGAAAGGGUCAUCCGCCACCCGGGCACUGAGACACGGCCCAGACUCCUACGGGAGGCAGCAGUGGGGAAUCUUGCGCAAUGGGGGAAAGCCUGAUCGAGCAAAGCCGGGGGAGGGAUGAAGGUCUUCGGAUGGUAAAACGCUGUUAUUAGGGAAGAAAUAAUGUGCAAUUACCGAUGAAGGUCAUGACGGUACCCGAAGAGAAAGCCCCGGCUAACUACGUG
This 497-nucleotide ribosomal RNA is filed under the name uncultured bacterium. Its description in RNAcentral is "partial 16S ribosomal RNA". It matches the Rfam family "Bacterial small subunit ribosomal RNA", at positions 30 to 507 of the family's 1533-position model. The record is from RNAcentral.